AUGGCAAUUGUCCAUACAUACGGGAAGCCAAAAAUCUUCUUGACCAUGACUUGCAAUCCUAAAUGGGAAGAGAUAACGAAUGAGUUGCUGCCUGGUCAGACGGCGCAAGACCGACCUGAUCUUGUGGCUCGCGUGUUCUUCGGCAAACUAGAGGCUAUGAAGGACAUGUUGUUCAAGAAGCACAUCCUGGGUGUUGUUGUCGCAUAUGUGUAUGUUGUCGAGUUUCAAAAAAGAGGCCUC
This 240-nucleotide ribosomal RNA is filed under the name Triticum aestivum (bread wheat). RNAcentral's name for it is "partial small subunit ribosomal RNA". The record is from RNAcentral. Lineage: Eukaryota; Viridiplantae; Streptophyta; Magnoliopsida; Poales; Poaceae.